Leptonychotes weddellii (Weddell seal) is the source of this 430-nucleotide non-coding RNA. Lineage: Eukaryota; Metazoa; Chordata; Mammalia; Carnivora; Phocidae. The record is from the annotation of a RefSeq genome assembly.
AGCCAGCCAGGCCAACGGGAUGCCACUCCUGAAAGCAGUCAUCUUCUCCUGCCUCUGGGCCUUUGGCCUUGGGCAGGUGAAAUUGGAGCAACCUGAAAUAUCAAUUUCCAGAGCAAGAGAUAAGAGUGCCCACAUAUCAUGCAAGGUGUCUGCUAAGGACUUUAAUGAUGAAGUAAUACACUGGUACCGGCAGAAACCAGAUCAGGAGAUAGAACAUCUAACAUAUAUCCAGGAAAGCUCUGUUCAAGUUUCUUUAGGUGGGAAGAAAAACAAACUUGAAGCAAGUAAAAAUACUCAUACUUCCACUGCAACCUUGAAUGUAAAUUUCUUAAAGCAAGAAGACGAGGCCAUGUACUACUGUGCCUGCUGGAUAGAUCCACAGUGUCAGCGUUACCAAGAGAAGCUGCACAAGAACCAUCUUCAGGUCUGA